GACGAACGCUGGCGGCGUGCCUAAUACAUGCAAGUUGAGCGAUGAAGAUUGGUGCUUGCACCAAUUUGAAGAGCAGCGAACGGGUGAGUAACGCGUGGGGAAUCUGCCUUUGAGCGGGGGACAACAUUUGGAAACGAAUGCUAAUACCGCAUAAUAACUUUAAACAUAAGUUUUAAGUUUGAAAGAUGCAAUUGCAUCACUCAAAGAUGAUCCCGCGUUGUAUUAGCUAGUUGGUGAGGUAAAGGCUCACCAAGGCGAUGAUACAUAGCCGACCUGAGAGGGUGAUCGGCCACAUUGGGACUGAGACACGGCCCAAACUCUUACGGGAGGCAGCAGUAGGGAAUCUUCGGCAAUGGACGAAAGUCUGACCGAGCAACGCCGCGUGAGUGAAGAAGGUUUUCGGAUCGUAAAACUCUGUUGGUAGAGAAGAACGUUGGUGAGAGUGGAAAGCUCAUCAAGUGACGGUAACUACCCAGAAAGGGACGGCUAACUACGUG
This 497-nucleotide ribosomal RNA is filed under the name uncultured bacterium. RNAcentral describes it as "partial 16S ribosomal RNA". It matches the Rfam family "Bacterial small subunit ribosomal RNA", at positions 28 to 507 of the family's 1533-position model. The record is from RNAcentral.